CCUACGGUGUGCAGCAGUGAGGAAUAUUGGUCAAUGGACGCAAGUCUGAACCAGCCAUGCCGCGUGCAGGAAGACGGCUCUAUGAGUUGUAAACUGCUUUUGUACAAGGGUAAACGCAGAUACGUGUAUCUGUCUGAAAGUAUCGUACGAAUAAGGAUCGGCUACCUCCGUGCAAGCAGCCGCGGUAAUCCGGAGGAUUCAAGCGUUAUCCGGAUUUAUUGGGUUUAAAGGGUGCGUAGGCGGUCGGAUAAGUUAGAGGUGAAAUCCCGAGGCUCAACUUCGGAAUUUCCUCUGAUACUGUUCGGCUAGAGAGUAGUUGCGGUAGGCGGAAUGUAUGGUGUAGCGGUGAAAUGCUUAGAGAGCAUACAGAACACCGAUUGCGAAGGCAGCUUAACAAGCUACUUCUGACGUUGAGGCACGAAAGCGUGGGGAGCAAACAGGAUUAGAUACCCUAGUAGUC
RNAcentral lists this ribosomal RNA (460 nucleotides) under uncultured bacterium. Its description in RNAcentral is "partial 16S ribosomal RNA". It matches the Rfam family "Bacterial small subunit ribosomal RNA", at positions 338 to 795 of the family's 1533-position model. The record is from RNAcentral.